Molecule: ribosomal RNA, 492 nt
Filed under: uncultured bacterium
Lineage: Bacteria
Description: partial 16S ribosomal RNA
Rfam family: Bacterial small subunit ribosomal RNA
Source: RNAcentral
AGUGAACGCUGGCGGUAGGCCUAACACAUGCAAGUCGAACGGCAGCACAGUAAGAGCUUGCUCUUACGGGUGGCGAGUGGCGGACGGGUGAGGAAUACAUCGGAAUCUACUUUUUCGUGGGGGAUAACGUAGGGAAACUUACGCUAAUACCGCAUACGACCUACGGGUGAAAGCAGGGGAUCUUCGGACCUUGCGCGAUUGAAUGAGCCGAUGUCGGAUUAGCUAGUUGGCGGGGUAAAGGCCCACCAAGGCGACGAUCCGUAGCUGGUCUGAGAGGAUGAUCAGCCACACUGGAACUGAGACACGGUCCAGACUACUACGGGAGGCAGCAGUGGGGAAUAUUGGACAAAGGGCGCAAGCCUGAUCCAGCCAUACCGCGUGGGUGAAGAAGGCCUUCGGGUUGUAAAGCCCUUUUGUUGGGAAAGAAAAGCAGCAGGUUAAUACCCCGCUGUUCUGACGGUACCCAAAGAAUAAGCACCGGCUAACUUCGUG